GGGAGAGAGAGAGUGGACUCAUGCUGCAGAUUCUCUGACAGUCUCCACAUGGGCUUUGCAGUGCCCAGUGGAAUGUGGAGGAAACAUCAUAUACUGAAGACCCAGUGAAGAGUCAACUGACGCUCAGUUGUGACUGACGUCAGUAAUUCUGCAAGUGUAGGCAUGCAGAAGCAACAUAAAGAAACACACAAUCGAAUGCAGGCAGAAACACAAACACAAAACGUGAAUGCCUUUGCCGACCAGCUGCGCGCACCAGCAAAGGACAAGCAUCUACCGGCUGCGGGAGCCGAGGUGUUCUGUCCUGUGGUUCAUCCAUCCGACCCAUGGGCUCUUUUGGCUUGGCUCCACGUGGCACAAAAGGGCCGCAGCAUUCCUGAUGUCGGCAGCUAAUCUGCGGUGUCAGCUCGUGUUAAUGCCGCGCUGCCAAAUCUGAGGGCGCACAGGGCCGUGGAAUAUUAAAAACCCCACCAACGGAAUUCCUUCAGAGGACGGAGGAGGGCAGGGCACGGGCCGGUGAGGGGAUUAGAACAAGGCUUGGGAUCAGCUAAGAUUGAAUGCUGAGUGGUGGGCGGGCAGAGUUUACUGUAACGAAUGUGAGGAGAGAGGGAUGAGAUGGGUGAAGAGGAGAAUGGUGUGAGGAGAGAGGGAGGACAUAUGAUGAAGGAAGGGUGGGAGAAGACUGAACAUCUUGACCUCAGCCCAGGAAUUAGAGCGCAGUUUUUUUUUUUGGUUUAUGCUGUUCCUUGUUCGCACCUGGAUUCAUUCAAUUCAUCUUCCUAAACCUUUUGUGCACGCUAACCCAACACUUUCAAUUUCAGUUGCAAAAACAAAACAAAUAUAUAAUCUUGCUAGUUUCUGUUAGUAUCUCUAAACUGCCAGUUGCGGAUUGAAACUGGCAGGAUAGGAUGAUUCUAUGAAUACCCUGUUAUCCUGUUAAUUAGGGUUUCAGCAGUAUUGUAUUAUGUUUGUUCCGGUUCAUUAAUAUUAUUAUUAUUAGGGUUUCAGCAGUUCUUCUUCUUGUAUCCCUACUGCAAAUUAUAAAACGGUAAUUGAUUUUACAUAUGCUAAUUUGCAUAAUUAUCGUUAAUUUACUAUUAGGCUGUAUCUUUUGAACCGUUCGAGCUACAGACACAAAACCAACUUUCUUUCACACAUUUAGGAUAUCCCUACUGCAAACUAUGAAAUGGAAAUGUAUUUUACAAAUGCUAAUUACCAUAAUUACCAUUAAUGAACUGUUAGGUUGUAUCUUUUAAACCGUUCCAGCUACAGCCACGAAACCAACUUUGUUAUAACAGAUUAGUGUCUUGCUGUUUGUGAAACAUUUAUCGAGCUACAGACACGAAAAAACUUUUUUACACCAGUUUAGGCCAUCCCUACUUAAAAUUAGGAUACGUUUAUUGAUUUACCAUAUGCUAAUUUGCGUAAUCAGCAUUAAUUAUCUAUUAGGUUGUUUCUGUUGAACCGUUUGUGCUACAGACAAGAAACCAACUUUGUUUUACAUGGUUAAGAUAUACCUACUGCAAAUUAAGAAAUGGUAAUUGAUUUUACAUGUGCUAAUUUGUGAUUAUCGUUAAUUUAAUAUUAGGCUGUAUCUUUUGAACCGUUCGAGCUACAGACACAAAACCAACUUUCUUUCACACAUUUAGGAUAUCCCUACUGCAAACUAUGAAAUGGAAAUGUAUUUUACAAAUGCUAAUUACCAUAAUUACCAUUAAUGAACUGUUAGGUUGUAUCUUUUAAACCGUUCCAGCUACAGCCACGAAACCAACUUUGUUAUAACAGAUUAGUGUCUUGCUGUUUGUGAAACAUUUAUCGAGCUACAGACACGAAAAAACUUUUUUACACCAGUUUAUGCCAUCCCUACUUAAAAUUAGGAUACGUUUAUUGAUUUACCAUAUGCUAAUUUGCGUAAUCAGCAUUAAUUAUCUAUUAGGUUGUUUCUGUUGAACCGUUUGUGCUACAGACAAGAAACCAACUUUGUUUUACAUGGUUAAGAUAUACCUACUGCAAAUUAAGAAAUGGUAAUUGAUAUUACAUGUGCUAAUUUGUGAUUAUUGUUAAUUUAAUAUUAGGCUGUAUCUUUUGAACCAUUCGAGCUACAGGCCCGCAACCAACUUUUGUACACCAGUUUAGGCCAUCCCUACUUCGAAUUAGGAAACAUUUAUCGAUUUAACAUAUGCUGUCAUGGAAAAAUUUAUCUUCUUGCCAAAAAGAAUGCAACAACUCAAAAAGAUGCAAUAACUCAGAAGUUUGUGGAUUCAAAUUAAACUUUUAAUGAGCAAUCAUUAAAGCAGAGUUGACCUGCAGGAACAACUGUCUUACCAACUCAGGACACACACAUUUAUACAGUGUUAUCUUGCAUAAACUUUUUGGCCAUCCCCUUAUGCUAAUUCCUGGGCGGAUCUUUCUCCCCAUCUGCCACCAUUGUUUCACAACCUUCCAGAAUCUGUUCCUUGUUAAAUAUUGGUGGCGCAGACUUUAGAAACCUGUAUAAAAAUAAUAGAGCCAUUAGUGCCCUUUAUAUUCAUUGUUACGUGAUUACUGUGCUUAUUACCCAUCAUUAUACGGUUACCAUAUUGGUUAUUUUACCAUUGAAGAUUGAUGAUUAUACUGUUACAUUCAUAAAGGUGAGAGUUCAGAAACACUCCUAUGACAAACCUCUUACACCUACAGUGGGGAGAACAAGUA
Esox lucius (northern pike) is the source of this 2688-nucleotide long non-coding RNA. RefSeq lists it as uncharacterized. The transcript has 3 exons. Lineage: Eukaryota; Metazoa; Chordata; Actinopteri; Esociformes; Esocidae. The record is from RefSeq and is a predicted model, not a curated record.